AGAGUUUGAUCAUGGCUCAGAGUGAACGCUGGCGGCGUGCCUAACACAUGCAAGUCGAACGAGAACGGAUUACAGCUUGCUGUAAUUGUCAGCUAAGUGGCGCACGGGUGAGUAAUAUAUAGUUAAUCUGCCCCAAAGAAGAGAAUAAUUGUUGGAAACGACUUGUAAUGCUCUAUAUGCCUUUAUCACAUAAGUGAGCAAGGGAAAUAUUUAUAGCUUUGGGAUGAGACUGUACGGUAUCAGCUAGUUGGUGAGGUAAUGGCUCACCAAGGCUAUGACAUCUAACUGGUUUGAGAGGAGGAUCAGUCACACUGGAACUGAGACACGGUCCAGACUCCUACGGGAGGCAGCAGUGGGGAAUAUUGCACAAUGGAGGGAACUCUGAUGCAGCAACGCCGCGUGGAGGAUGACACAUUUCGGUGCGUAAACUCCUUUUAUAUGAGAAGAUAAUGACGGUAUCAUAUGAAUAAGCACCGGCUAACUCCGUGCCAGCAGCCGCGGUAAUACGGGGGGUGCAAGCGUUACUCGGAAUCACUGGGCGUAAAGAGCAUGUAGGCUGUAGAUUAAGUUGGGAGUGAAAUCCUAUGGCUCAACCAUAGAACUGCUUCCAAAACUGAUUUGCUAGAGUAUGGGAGAGGUAGAUGGAAUUUCUGGUGUAGGGGUAAAAUCCGUAGAGAUC
This 679-nucleotide ribosomal RNA is filed under the name uncultured bacterium. RNAcentral's name for it is "bacterial SSU rRNA". It matches the Rfam family "Bacterial small subunit ribosomal RNA", at positions 8 to 698 of the family's 1533-position model. The record is from RNAcentral.